This 497-nucleotide ribosomal RNA is filed under the name uncultured bacterium. RNAcentral describes it as "partial 16S ribosomal RNA". It matches the Rfam family "Bacterial small subunit ribosomal RNA", at positions 28 to 507 of the family's 1533-position model. The record is from RNAcentral.
GAUGAACGCUGGCGGCGUGCCUAAUACAUGCAAGUCGAGCGAACAGACGAGGAGCUUGCUCCUCUGACGUUAGCGGCGGACGGGUGAGUAACACGUGGAUAACCUACCUAUAAGACUGGGAUAACUUCGGGAAACAGGAGCUAAUACCGGAUAAUAUAUUGAACCGCAUGGUUCAAUAGUGAAAGACGGUUUUGCUGUUACUUAUAGAUGGAUUCGCGCCGCAUUAGCUAGUUGGUAAGGUAACGGCUUACCAAGGCAACGAUGCGUAGCCGACCUGAGAGGGUGAUCGGCCACACUGGAACUGAGACACGGUCCAGACUCCUACGGGAGGCAGCAGUAGGGAAUCUUCCGCAAUGGGCGAAAGCCUGACGGAGCAACGCCGCGUGAGUGAUGAAGGUCUUCGGAUCGUAAAACUCUGUUAUUAGGGAAGAACAAAUGUGUAAGUAACUAUGCACGUCUUGACGGUACCUAAUCAGAAAGCCACGGCUAACUACGUG